Molecule: ribozyme, 134 nt
Filed under: Microtus ochrogaster (prairie vole)
Lineage: Eukaryota; Metazoa; Chordata; Mammalia; Rodentia; Cricetidae
Description: Hovlinc ribozyme (hominin vlincRNA-located)
Rfam family: Hovlinc ribozyme (hominin vlincRNA-located)
About the family: Hovlinc is a recently evolved class of self-cleaving ribozyme found in a very long non coding RNA (vlincRNA) in hominins, including humans (genus Homo), and chimpanzees and bonobos (genus Pan), but missing in gorillas (genus Gorilla).
Source: Rfam by way of RNAcentral
ACAUAGACUAAGGCCAAGAGACUCAUAUAACUGGGUUGACAAGCUAUGUGCUUACCCUAAAAGAAGAUUCACAUAACCUGUGCUUAGAAAUAGAUCUGGGCUUUGAGUCUGAGAACUCUGCCAACAACAGCUAA